GAUGAACGCUAGCUACAGGCUUAACACAUGCAAGUCGAGGGGAAACGACAUCGAAAGCUUGCUUUUGAUGGGCGUCGACCGGCGCACGGGUGAGUAACGCGUAUCCAACCUGCCCACCACUUGGGGAUAACCUUGCGAAAGUAAGACUAAUACCCAAUGACGUCUCUAGAAGACAUCUGAAAGAGAUUAAAGAUUUAUCGGUGAUGGAUGGGGAUGCGUCUGAUUAGCUUGUUGGCGGGGUAACGGCCCACCAAGGCGACGAUCAGUAGGGGUUCUGAGAGGAAGGUCCCCCACAUUGGAACUGAGACACGGUCCAAACUCCUACGGGAGGCAGCAGUGAGGAAUAUUGGUCAAUGGACGAGAGUCUGAACCAGCCAAGUAGCGUGCAGGAUGACGGCCCUAUGGGUUGUAAACUGCUUUUAUAAGGGAAUAAAGUGAGUCUCGUGAGACUUUUUGCAGGUACCUUAUGAAUAAGGACCGGCUAAUUCCGUG
Molecule: ribosomal RNA, 492 nt
Filed under: uncultured bacterium
Lineage: Bacteria
Description: partial 16S ribosomal RNA
Rfam family: Bacterial small subunit ribosomal RNA
Source: RNAcentral